GGUUAAGUGACUAAGCGUAUACGGUGGAUGCCUUGGCAGUCAGAGGCGAUGAAGGACGUAGUAACUUGCGAAAAGCGUUGGCGAGCUAGUAACAAGCAUUUGAGCUAACGAUGUCCGAAUGGGGAAACCCGGCCACAUAAGUGGUCAUCAUAACGUGAAUACAUAGCGUUAUGAGGCGAACCUGGGGAACUGAAACAUCUAAGUACCCAGAGGAAAAGAAAUCAACCGAGAUUCCCCUAGUAGCGGCGAGCGAACGGGGAUUAGCCCUUAAGUCUAUGGGGUGUUAGUGGAAUGAGUUGGAAAGCUCAACGGUACAGGGUGAUAGUCCCGUACAUGAAAACUAACCAUAGAUGAAAACGAGUAAGGCGGGACACGUGACAUCCUGUUUGAAUAUGGGGGGACCAUCCUCCAAGGCUAAAUACUCCUGACUGACCGAUAGUGAACCAGUACCGUGAGGGAAAGGCGAAAAGAACCCCUGUGAGGGGAGUGAAAUAGAACCUGAAACCGUGUACGUACAAGCAGUGGGAGCGGUUCUUGAGACCGUGACUGCGUACCUUUUGUAUAAUGGGUCAGCGACUUACGUUUUGUAGCGAGGUUAAGCGAAUAGCGGAGCCGUAGGGAAACCGAGUGUUAACUGCGCGUUUAGUUGCAAGGCGUAGACCCGAAACCGAGUGAUCUAGCCAUGGGCAGGUUGAAGGUUGAGUAACAUCAACUGGAGGACCGAACCGACUAAUGUUGAAAAAUUAGCGGAUGACUUGUGGCUGGGGGUGAAAGGCCAAUCAAACUCGGAGAUAUCUGGUUCUCCUCGAAAGCUAUUUAGGUAGCGCCUCGAGCGAAUACCACUGGGGGUAGAGCACUGUUAAGGCUAGGGGGUCAUCCCGACUUACCAACCCUUUGCAAACUCCGAAUACCAGUGAGUACUACUCGGGAGACAGACGGCGGGUGCUAACGUCCGUCGUCAAAAGGGAAACAACCCAGACCAUCAGCUAAGGUCCCAAAGUUAUUGCUAAGUGGGAAACGAUGUGGGAAGGCUUAGACAGCUAGGAUGUUGGCUUAGAAGCAGCCAUCAUUUAAAGAAAGCGUAAUAGCUCACUAGUCGAGUCGGCCUGCGCGGAAGAUUUAACGGGGCUAAGCAAUACACCGAAGCUAUGGGUUUGCUCUUAUGAGCAAGCGGUAGAGGAGCGUUCUGUAAGCGGUUGAAGGUGAAGGGGUAACCCACACUGGACGUAUCAGAAGUGCGAAUGCUGACAUGAGUAACGAUAAAGGGAGUGAAAAACUCCCUCGCCGAAAGACCAAGGGUUCCUGUCCAACGUUAAUCGGGGCAGGGUGAGUCGACCCCUAAGGCGAGGCCGAAAGGCGUAGUCGAUGGGAAAC
RNAcentral lists this ribosomal RNA (1374 nucleotides) under Shewanella sp. 4_MG-2023. RNAcentral describes it as "partial 23S ribosomal RNA". It matches the Rfam family "Bacterial large subunit ribosomal RNA", at positions 1 to 1426 of the family's 2925-position model. The record is from RNAcentral. Lineage: Bacteria; Pseudomonadati; Pseudomonadota; Gammaproteobacteria; Alteromonadales; Shewanellaceae.